Long non-coding RNA from Folsomia candida, 371 nucleotides. RefSeq lists it as uncharacterized. The transcript is spliced from 5 exons. Lineage: Eukaryota; Metazoa; Arthropoda; Collembola; Entomobryomorpha; Isotomidae. The record is from RefSeq and is a predicted model, not a curated record.
AGGUUGGGGCGGUUGGGGCGCUGGUGGGGGUCAGGGGGGCAAAGGUUCGGCCGGCUGGGUCAACAGUGAGGUGACGGUCAUUGGUGGCGACGACGACAAGAAAGGGGACGGAGGAGGAGGGAGCACGGGCAUCAUUGGAAACAUGAUGACUUAUUUCAGAGGAAUGAGAGACAGAAUGAAGAAGGGAUCCAAAGGAGAUGACGACGAUGAGGUCAUUGUAAUGACCACUGGAAAUGGCGGAGAUGGUCAUGGAGGUGGUGGCGGAGGAGGUUGGGGUGGUGGUGGAGGUCAAGGGCAGACAAUUAUCAUUACAGAAGAGAAAGGAAAGAAGGGUGAGAGCAACAUCAUUGUUCUCGGCAAGGGAGGAGGAG